CACUCCUACGGGAGGCAGCAGUGGGGAAUUUUGGACAAUGGGCGAAAGCCUGAUCCAGCAAUGCCGCGUGAGUGAAGAAGGCCUUCGGGUUGUAAAGCUCUUUUGUCAGGGAAGAAACGGUGAAAGCUAAUAUCUUUUGCUAAUGACGGUACCUGAAGAAUAAGCACCGGCUAACUACGUGCCAGCAGCCGCGGUAAUACGUAGGGUGCAAGCGUUAAUCGGAAUUACUGGGCGUAAAGCGUGCGCAGGCGGUUUUGUAAGUCUGAUGUGAAAUCCCGGGGCUCAACCUGGGAAUUGCAUUGGAGACUGCAAGGCUAGAAUCUGGCAGAGGGGGGUAGAAUUCCACGUGUAGCAGUGAAAUGCGUAGAUAUGUGGAGGAACACCGAUGGCGAAGGCAGCCCCCUGGGUCAAGAUUGACGCUCAUGCACGAAAGCGUGGGGAGCAAACAGGAUUAGAUACCCCAGUAGUCCCAUGA
This 475-nucleotide ribosomal RNA is filed under the name uncultured organism. Its description in RNAcentral is "partial 16S ribosomal RNA". It matches the Rfam family "Bacterial small subunit ribosomal RNA", at positions 334 to 800 of the family's 1533-position model. The record is from RNAcentral.